Molecule: small RNA, 73 nt
Filed under: Arabidopsis thaliana (thale cress)
Lineage: Eukaryota; Viridiplantae; Streptophyta; Magnoliopsida; Brassicales; Brassicaceae
Description: ATSL232850
Source: RNAcentral
UGCUCACCUCUCUUUCUGUCAGUUGCCUAUCUCUGCCUGCUUGACCUCUCUCUCUCUCUCUCUCUCUCAAAUU